Molecule: ribosomal RNA, 370 nt
Filed under: uncultured bacterium
Lineage: Bacteria
Description: bacterial SSU rRNA
Rfam family: Bacterial small subunit ribosomal RNA
Source: RNAcentral
GGGCCCGCACAAGCGGUGGAGUAUGUGGUUUAAUUCGAUGCAACGCGAAGAACCUUACCAGGGUUUGACAUCCUGCGAAUCUCUUGGAAACAGGAGAGUGCCUUCGGGAACGCAGUGACAGGUGGUGCAUGGCUGUCGUCAGCUCGUGUCGUGAGAUGUUGGGUUAAGUCCCGCAACGAGCGCAACCCACGUCUUUAGUUGCCAGCAUUUAGUUGGGCACUCUAGAGAGACUGCCGGUGAUAAACCGGAGAAGGUGUGGAUGACGUCAAGUCAUCAUGCCCCUUACAUCUGGGCUACACACGUACUACAAUGGCGCAUACAGAGGGCAGCCAACUUGCGAGAGUGAGCGAAUCCCCAAAAAGUGCGUCGU